Long non-coding RNA from Schistocerca nitens (vagrant locust), 367 nucleotides. RefSeq lists it as uncharacterized. The transcript has 3 exons. The record is from RefSeq and is a predicted model, not a curated record. Lineage: Eukaryota; Metazoa; Arthropoda; Insecta; Orthoptera; Acrididae.
CAAAACCUCCCGACUGCACCGCCCUAGGAUAAAUAUAGUGUCGGCGCCAUUACAUUUCCGAUCUAGGCAACCACUGUACACCAUGGCAUUGAAGAGCUCGUGCUGAAAAAAAUGUCCGCAAUUAAUCCUAAGAAUAUUCAACACAGCAAAUUGAUGUUGAAAUACUACUGUAAAUUCCCCGGCUGUUCAUCUGGAUAUUACAUGGGUUCAGCGGAGAAGUUAGCAACAAGCAUUUCUGCAGGUUUCUAAAACAAUAUCAUGAAUUCCUUCUGAAGUGGAAAAGUGUUUAUAAACUAUCGCCUAAUGUCAACUGUGCUACUUAUAUUUUUGUGAAGAUAAUUUUUUCGAAGAAGAUUUUAUGAACAAA